AUCUUGGAGAGUUUGAUCCUGGCUCAGGACGAACGCUGGCGGCGUGCUUAACACAUGCAAGUCGAACGGAAAUUAUAGGAAGCUUGCUUCUU
RNAcentral lists this ribosomal RNA (92 nucleotides) under Veillonella seminalis. RNAcentral's name for it is "partial 16S ribosomal RNA". It matches the Rfam family "Bacterial small subunit ribosomal RNA", at positions 1 to 88 of the family's 1533-position model. The record is from RNAcentral. Lineage: Bacteria; Bacillati; Bacillota; Negativicutes; Veillonellales; Veillonellaceae.